UUUUUUGAAUCGAAAUUAAAUAACAAUACUAUACUAAUAAGUUUUAUGAUCAGAACAAAAAAGCAUAGCCAGUUUAAAUUCCUAAAAAGUUUGUUCUAAAUAUCCUUGAAGGGAAGUCCCUGCCAUUGAUUCCUAUGACUCCAUCGUAUACAGAGAGAAAAAUAAGAGGGAAUAAUAACUUAUGUCUAGUGUUGAUUAUCACUCCAUUCUUUUUUUAAUUUGAUUUUUGUCCCACAUUGGAGUAAAACUUAAAAUUAGACAGAACUGAAAGUAGAGAUUAACAGAACUAAACCACUCAGUAUGAAGCUGACUUAACCUUCUCACGGAGGAACUGCAACAUAUGUUCGCAUUUCCAGUUGUCAAUUCUAAUGGUUUCUUUAUGUUGACCAUCAUCAUCCAGCAUGAUCAACUUUGGUGGAGA
This 421-nucleotide unclassified non-coding RNA is filed under the name Hevea brasiliensis (rubber tree). Lineage: Eukaryota; Viridiplantae; Streptophyta; Magnoliopsida; Malpighiales; Euphorbiaceae. The record is from RNAcentral.